Molecule: long non-coding RNA, 210 nt
Filed under: Ananas comosus (pineapple)
Lineage: Eukaryota; Viridiplantae; Streptophyta; Magnoliopsida; Poales; Bromeliaceae
Description: long non-coding RNA (ACOM_LNC030526)
Source: RNAcentral
UCAUAUGUUGAUUGUGCAUUAUAGGAUUAGUAGAAGUAUAUUUCCAUUCAUUGCAUGCUUACUUAGUAGUGUAGCGGUAUGGGCUUAACACUUGGACUAGGGAGGCAUGAGGAUUGGGUCUUGAGACAAAGAAUCCUAUAGUGGCAAAAGUGAUGAACUUGGACAUAGCCUAGUAAAGUGGCAUUGACUAGUGUAGUAGAAACACUAAAC